RNAcentral lists this ribosomal RNA (497 nucleotides) under uncultured bacterium. Its description in RNAcentral is "partial 16S ribosomal RNA". It matches the Rfam family "Bacterial small subunit ribosomal RNA", at positions 28 to 507 of the family's 1533-position model. The record is from RNAcentral.
GAUGAACGCUGGCGGCGUGCCUAAUACAUGCAAGUCGAGCGAACGGACGAGAAGCUUGCUUCUCUGAUGUUAGCGGCGGACGGGUGAGUAACACGUGGAUAACCUACCUAUAAGACUGGGAUAACUUCGGGAAACCGGAGCUAAUACCGGAUAAUAUUUUGAACCGCAUGGUUCAAAAGUGAAAGACGGUCUUGCUGUCACUUAUAGAUGGAUCCGCGCUGCAUUAGCUAGUUGGUAAGGUAACGGCUUACCAAGGCAACGAUGCAUAGCCGACCUGAGAGGGUGAUCGGCCACACUGGAACUGAGACACGGUCCAGACACCUACGGGAGGCAGCAGUAGGGAAUCUUGCGCAAUGGGCGAAAGCCUGACGGAGGAACGCCGCGUGAGUGAUGAAGGUCUUCGGAUCGUAGAACUCUGUUAUUAGGGAAGAACAUAUGUGUAAGUAACUGUGCACAUCUUGACGGUAACUAAUCAGAAAGCCACGGCUAACUACGUG